Molecule: long non-coding RNA, 455 nt
Filed under: Capsella rubella
Lineage: Eukaryota; Viridiplantae; Streptophyta; Magnoliopsida; Brassicales; Brassicaceae
Description: long non-coding RNA (CRUB_LNC003778)
Source: RNAcentral
UUUAUUUCUCUAGUUUUGUGUUAUUUCCAUUGAAAUCUUUAUAACCACAUAAAAAAAAAGAUUAGUAUUUUGAUAUUUUAAAAACCAUACAAAGUUAUUUAUUAUCUCUUGCCUCUAAGCUUAAUUUCUGCCAACCGUAUGGCUUCUGUUCAUCCACCCAACUCAAGAAUCCAUGAACACCACAUCUGUUGAAUCUUCUUCCCGGAUUGUCAUUGGUCCAUGACUUUGCGACAAUCGAAACUCUACCACAACUGCUGCAAAGAGGACCCCAGCUAUGGCUUGAAUUCGCAUCAAAAGACCCUGAAGUUUGGCUCACCAUUCUCUGUUUCACUAUGAAUUUUGAAUUUUUUUUGAUUUAGGGUUCUUAGAAACCCAAAUCGAGUAGAUAAAAGACAAAGGGUAACAGUGUCUUAUGUUUAGACUAAUUAACCACGUGAAGUAAACUUCUAACUGCG